UGGUUAUCUUGGGCUGGAGGAGUAUCAGACGCUGAACGAGCAGCAUAGCAUACUGCACGGGAGCAUUGACGAUCUAUGGAAGUAUAUGGUGACGAUUGUAGCCCUUUAAUGGUGUGUGAUCAGCUAAAGUCUCAAAGAGUUGUUUUGGUCCAGCUCAAUUGAUCACUGUUUUCCCUGCCUUGAAAUUGUAUUUUCUUUGUUUCUGUGAAUUGUUUUUGUUUCCUUUUACUUUUUGGCCCAUGACUAUUGGUUAUUGUUUGGUCCAUUUAUUUUACAUGCCAAUGAGGCCAUUACUGGCAGCUUACUCAUUGUAACUAUAUAGGGAGGAAGUAUAUUCACUAUCAUUCACAUGUGUGCUGUGGUUUUUUUGUAUUUCAUGCUUUGAGGUGCUAUGUAUGAGAAUUUACGUUAGUUUUUUUGGGGGUUUAUUGUAUUAAUCAUUUUGGUGUUAAUUUCAUUUUUAUUUUCUUUGAGGGUGACAUUAUCCUCUGCUGUUAUUUGUGUCUCCAUCUUGCAUGAGUAAACUUA
This is a long non-coding RNA of Sinocyclocheilus anshuiensis, 528 nucleotides long. RefSeq lists it as uncharacterized. NCBI's taxonomy places the organism in Eukaryota, Metazoa, Chordata, Actinopteri, Cypriniformes, Cyprinidae. The record is from RefSeq and is a predicted model, not a curated record. The transcript is spliced from 3 exons.